This is a long non-coding RNA of Mya arenaria, 149 nucleotides long. RefSeq lists it as uncharacterized. NCBI's taxonomy places the organism in Eukaryota, Metazoa, Mollusca, Bivalvia, Myida, Myidae. The transcript is spliced from 3 exons. The record is from RefSeq and is a predicted model, not a curated record.
CGGCUAUAAAAGACCUGAAUGUAUUUAAUCGGACAGUACAACUGCGACCGCUCAAGAUCAUUCACCAUGAAGUUCGUGCUGUACCUCCUCGUUCUGUUGCCCCUGGCAUUCUGUGUGGAAGGAAGCUUUAUGCAUGAAGUGUACGACCC